Apis dorsata (giant honeybee) is the source of this 1679-nucleotide long non-coding RNA. RefSeq lists it as uncharacterized. NCBI's taxonomy places the organism in Eukaryota, Metazoa, Arthropoda, Insecta, Hymenoptera, Apidae. The transcript has 2 exons. The record is from RefSeq and is a predicted model, not a curated record.
UUAAAGUAAUAUUUAUUGAAUAAAAAGAACUUAGUCUUAAAAUUAAAAUCUUGAAAAUUUUAAAUAUAUUAAAAAUAAUUGGGAUUUAUAGAUAGGGAGAGAAAUGAAUUAGAUGUAUUGAAUUAAAUUUCAGGUCAGAGAACAUAUUUCUGCAGUUUUGCAAAUGUUUUUCUCUGUUUUUGUUCCUGUAAAUCACUCGUAUAUAAAGGUGCAAUUUUAGAUAUAAAAAGAUACAUUCAAAAAGAAUCAUUUUAUGGAUAAAAAUUAAGAGUUAAAUUUGGUAAAAUAUUUGAUAUUUUAUGAAUUAUGCAAUAUUUCACAAAUAUAUGUAUGUACAAAUAUUUGUAUAUACAAAUUAUAUGAACAUAUAAAUAUACAUAUCUUUCAUAAAUAUUAUAGCUAAGUUUGAAACGAGCUUCAAUAAUCGACAAUCGAUGUGUAGCAGUAAUCAUCAAAAACUUUACCGUACGUUCUAAAAGAAAAAAAAUAUCAAAGUAUAUAUAACAAUUAUCUUGUUUUUCAACAUAAUUCAUACUUCACUUUAUACAAGUUAUAAAUACAAGUUUACUUUAUACAAGUUAUAAAAUUAAAAGAAAAAAUAUAGAAAAUGAAAGAUUAAUAAUACAGAUUAAUUCAAUAAUAUUGAGAUGUUUAAUGAUCAUUUUCAUUAUCGAAAAACUCUCGAAUUAAAAGUACCUGAAGUUAUCUGAUUAAACGUACGCGCCAAAACUGUUCGUGACACGCGUUUGUUGUAUUUUAUUCAGCGAUUCUUGUCGCGAUGAAGUGUGCAAUGAAAAAUGACGAGGUGAUUCGAAAAUACGAGUGCUCCGAGUUAAUAUUAUUGAUUCAUAGAUAGAAUUCGUUCGUGUUAGAUGUUUUAAGAAUUAAGUUAAAUUGUAAGAGAUAAAAUAGUACUCUAAAUUAAUAAUGAGUACCACGAACAAAUUCCAUUGUUGAUUAUGUUUCUCGUUACGUGCUAUAUCAUAUGAUAUUGGUGCAAUAAUUUCUUUUAUUUUUUUGUUUUUUGUUGUGAUGUGUGCAAUAGAAAUAAAAAAGCUAAUUUCCCAUAUUAAAAAAAUAUAAGUGUAAAUAAAAUAUCACUUGGUCGUUUUCCAUGGGCAUCUAAUGAUCCAGCAACCAUCAUGCCUACAGCUGGUGGAAAACGUAAAGUGACACCAGGCUGAAGAAUCAAUUUUCCACCUGGUCGUACAUUGAUAUCUCGUUCGACAAUGUAUUCACCAGAACUUAAUAACUCAAGACCAUCAACUUCACCACCAACUAAAUUUGUACCAGGCGUCAAGAAUCGUGGUACAAAUGUUGGAUUUGAAAUAAUUGUAUUGGCCCCUGGAUUACUACUAUGUAAUAAGUACGGCAAAUAUUCAAUUUUAGCAAGAUUGUAUCUGUCUUUUCUGAAAUGGAAUAGCAUAUUAAAAACUUAGCUUAUUAAAACUAAGUUUUUAUAAAUAAAUGAAAAAAAAAAAUAUAUAAACCUAUGAAAUAAUCUCUCAAAUAUUUUAUUCUCUUCAGCAAAUCCAAGCCAAUUAUAAGUACAAUUAAUAAUUUUACUUUGAUCUUCUAAAUGCGAGCCAAUUUCAUAUCGUGAUUCAGGAUUAUGUAAAAUAUUACGAAAAAUUUCGACAUUGCUUGAUGAAACAACAACUGCAGCUGCAACCCUGGAA